This 468-nucleotide ribosomal RNA is filed under the name uncultured bacterium. RNAcentral describes it as "partial 16S ribosomal RNA". It matches the Rfam family "Bacterial small subunit ribosomal RNA", at positions 28 to 507 of the family's 1533-position model. The record is from RNAcentral.
GAUGAACGCUGACAGAAUGCUUAACACAUGCAAGUCAACUUGAAUUUGGGUUUUUUAACUUAGAUUUGGGUGGCGGACGGGUGAGUAACGCGUAAAGAACUUGCCUCACAGCUAGGGACAACAUUUGGAAACGAAUGCUAAUACCUGAUAUUAUGAUUAUAAGGCAUCUUAGAAUUAUGAAAGCUAUAUGCGCUGUGAGAGAGCUUUGCGUCCCAUUAGCUAGUUGGUGAGGUAACGGCUCACCAAGGCGAUGAUGGGUAGCCGGCCUGAGAGGGUGAACGGCCACAAGGGAACUGAGACACGGCCCUUACUCCUACGGGAGGCAGCAGUGGGGAAUAGUGGACAAUGGACCAAGAGUCUGAUCCAGCAAUUCUGUGUGCACGAUGACGUUUUUCGGAAUGUAAAGUGCUUUCAGUUGGGAAGAAAAAAAUGACGGUACCAACAGAAGAAGUGACGGCUAAAUACGUG